UAACUAAAGAGGAAGCCACGGCUAACUACGUGCCAGCAGCCGCGGUAAUACGUAGGUGGCAAGCGUUGUCCGAAAUUACUGGGUGUAAAGGGAGCGUAGGCGGGUAUAAAGUUGGCUGUAUAAACUAUGGGCUCAACCCAUAGAGGCAAACAAAACUGUAUAUCUUGAGUAAAGUAGAGGCAGAUGGAAUUCCUAGUGGAGCGGUGGAAUGCGUAGAGAUUAGGAGGAACACCAGUGGCGAAGGCGGUCUGCUGGGCUUUAACUGACGCUGAUGCUCGAAAGCGUGGGGAGCAAACAGGAUUAGAUACCCUGGUAGUCCACGCCGUAAACGAUGAUUACUAGGUGUGGGGAGACUGACCCUUUCCGUGCCGGAGUUAACACAAUAAGUAAUCCACCUGGGGAGUACGGUCGCAAGGCUGAAACU
RNAcentral lists this ribosomal RNA (424 nucleotides) under uncultured Eubacteriales bacterium. RNAcentral's name for it is "bacterial SSU rRNA". It matches the Rfam family "Bacterial small subunit ribosomal RNA", at positions 476 to 901 of the family's 1533-position model. The record is from RNAcentral. Lineage: Bacteria; Bacillati; Bacillota; Clostridia; Eubacteriales.